This 87-nucleotide non-coding RNA is filed under the name Loigolactobacillus rennini. Its description in RNAcentral is "Lactobacillus rennini Glycine sequence". It matches the Rfam family "Glycine riboswitch aptamer". From Rfam's summary of the family: This family represents the bacterial glycine riboswitch. Lineage: Bacteria; Bacillati; Bacillota; Bacilli; Lactobacillales; Lactobacillaceae. The record is from RNAcentral.
UGACAAAACUCUGGAGAGCAGUAAGCACCGAAGGAGCAACUCUUAUUUAAGGGGAAUCUCUCAGGUUAGUGUGACAGAGGAUACUGU